GAUGAACGCUGGCGGCAUGCCUAAUACAUGCAAGUCGAGCGAACAGACGAGGAGCUUGCUCCUUCGACGUUAGCGGCGGACGGGUGAGUAACACGUAGGUAACCUACCUAUAAGACUGGGAUAACUUCGGGAAACCGGAGCUAAUACCGGAUAAUAUUUCGAACCGCAUGGUUCGAUAGUGAAAGAUGGCUUUGCUAUCACUUAUAGAUGGACCUGCGCCGUAUUAGCUAGUUGGUAAGGUAACGGCUUACCAAGGCAACGAUACGUAGCCGACCUGAGAGGGUGAUCGGCCACACUGGAACUGAGACACGGUCCAGACUCCUACGGGAGGCAGCAGUAGGGAAUCUUCCGCAAUGGGCGAAAGCCUGACGGAGCAACGCCGCGUGAGUGAUGAAGGUCUUCGGAUCGUAAAACUCUGUUAUUAGGGAAGAACAAACGUGUAAGUAACUGUGCACGUCUUGACGGUACCUAAUCAGAAAGCCACGGCUAACUACGUG
This 497-nucleotide ribosomal RNA is filed under the name uncultured bacterium. RNAcentral describes it as "partial 16S ribosomal RNA". It matches the Rfam family "Bacterial small subunit ribosomal RNA", at positions 28 to 507 of the family's 1533-position model. The record is from RNAcentral.